GAUGAACGCUGGCGGCGUGCCUAACACAUGCAAGUCGAACGGUUAAACCGCCCUCGGGCGGACAUAGAGUGGCGAACGGGUGAGUAACACGUGGCCAACCUGCCCCCCUCUCCGGGACAGCCGCGGGAAACCGCGAUUAAUACCGGAUGACGCCCGGGCCCCGCAUGGGGCCCGGGCCAAAGCCCAGGCGGAGGGGGAUGGGGCCGCGGCCCAUCAGGCAGACGGCGGGGUGACGGCCCACCGUGCUUUCGACGGGUAGCCGGGUUGAGAGACCGACCGGCCACAUUGGGACUGAGAUACGGCCCAGACUCCUACGGGAGGCAGCAGUGGGGAAUUUUGCGCAAUGGGGGCAACCCUGACGCAGCAACGCCGCGUGCGGGACGAAGGCCUUCGGGUCGUAAACCGCUUUCAGCAGGGAAGACAGCGACGGUAC
RNAcentral lists this ribosomal RNA (433 nucleotides) under uncultured bacterium. Its description in RNAcentral is "bacterial SSU rRNA". It matches the Rfam family "Bacterial small subunit ribosomal RNA", at positions 28 to 478 of the family's 1533-position model. The record is from RNAcentral.